This 462-nucleotide ribosomal RNA is filed under the name uncultured bacterium. Its description in RNAcentral is "partial 16S ribosomal RNA". It matches the Rfam family "Bacterial small subunit ribosomal RNA", at positions 28 to 507 of the family's 1533-position model. The record is from RNAcentral.
GAUGAACGCUGACAGAAUGCUUAACACAUGCAAGUCAUUGGCGAAGCUGCGCUUGCGCAGUCUAGCCAAGGCGGACGGGUGAGUAACGCGUAAGGAACUUGCCCUGCAGACAGGGAUAACAGACGGAAACGACUGAUAACACCUGGUAUUGUCAGGCUGGCGCAUGCCGGCCUGAUGAAAGGAGACGCUGCAGGAGAGCCUUGCGUCCUAUUAGCUAGUUGGUGGGGUAACGGCCCACCAAGGCGAUGAUAGGUAGCCGGCCUGAGAGGGUGAACGGCCGCAAGGGGACUGAGAUACGGCCCUUACUCCUACGGGAGGCAGCAGUGGGGAAUAUUGGACAAUGGGGGCAACCCUGAUCCAGCAAUUCUGUGUGCACGAAGAAGGUUUUCGGAUUGUAAAGUGCUUUCAGCAGGGAAGAAGAAAGUGACGGUACCUGCAGAAGAAGCGACGGCUAAAUACGUG